UUACACAGGAAGCCACUCACAGUGGCCUGUGUGAGCACUUUUGUGGAGCUCGCGAGGACGUCGAUAACAUUAGGGAAACAGAAAGGCGAAUCCCCCCAGUCCUCCGUUAGGCCCAAUUAGCAGACGCCGCUGCACAAAGGAGGUGGCGCCCGCCCGCCGCUCUCGCUCGCGGCGGCGGCAUCCCCCUCAGACGCCGCGCACCCGGGUCUCACCACAGCCUCGUUUGUGGGACGAAGCCGCCAUUCCCCAAAUAGGUUGCUUUCAAGAAACGAAUAUUGGCUACAGAGAAGACUAUAUUAUCUGAGGUUGUACAUAGAAACAAAGGCAAAAUAAAAAAAAAAAAAGGAUCAUGAGGUUUGAGACCAA
Non-coding RNA from Microcebus murinus (gray mouse lemur), 366 nucleotides. The record is from RefSeq and is a predicted model, not a curated record. NCBI's taxonomy places the organism in Eukaryota, Metazoa, Chordata, Mammalia, Primates, Cheirogaleidae.